GUGGGGAAUAUUGGACAAUGGGCGCAAGCCUGAUCCAGCCACGCCGCGUGAGUGAUGAAGGCCCUAGGGUUGUAAAGCUCUUUCACCGAUGAAGAUAAUGACGGUAGUCGGAGAAGAAGCCCCGGCUAACUUCGUGCCAGCAGCCGCGGUAAUACGAAGGGGGCUAGCGUUGUUCGGAAUUACUGGGCGUAAAGCGCACGUAGGCGGAUAUUUAAGUCAGGGGUGAAAUCCCAGAGCUCAACUCUGGAACUGCCUUUGAUACUGGGUAUCUCGAGUAUGGAAGAGGUGAGGGGAAUUCCGAGUGUAGAGGUGAAAUUCGUAGAUAUUCGGAGGAACACCAGUGGCGAAGGCGGCUCACUGGUCCAUUACUGACGCUGAGGUGCGAAAGCGUGGGUAGCAAACAGGAUUAGAUACCCCGGUAGUCC
RNAcentral lists this ribosomal RNA (425 nucleotides) under uncultured bacterium. RNAcentral describes it as "partial 16S ribosomal RNA". It matches the Rfam family "Bacterial small subunit ribosomal RNA", at positions 354 to 796 of the family's 1533-position model. The record is from RNAcentral.